GGGGGUUUAGCUCAGUGGUAGAGCACAUGUUUGGCAUGCAUGAGGUCCUGGGUUCAAUCCUCACUGCCUCUG
RNAcentral lists this transfer RNA (72 nucleotides) under Camelus bactrianus (Bactrian camel). It matches the Rfam family "tRNA". From Rfam's summary of the family: Transfer RNA (tRNA) molecules are approximately 80 nucleotides in length. Their secondary structure includes four short double-helical elements and three loops (D, anti-codon, and T loops). Lineage: Eukaryota; Metazoa; Chordata; Mammalia; Artiodactyla; Camelidae. RNAcentral also lists the same sequence under 2 other names. The record is from Rfam by way of RNAcentral.